UUCUUUGACUGGUGACUUUGGUGGUGACGGGACUGUCUCACUUACUUCUUCCGGCUGUAACACAGGUUUGGGUCUUGCAAGUGGACUCUCGCGGCCAGCAAAGAAGUCUUCAAUAGAGGCUUCCUCAGCCUCAACAGGUGAUGGCUCUUCUUUGACUGGUGACUUUGGUGGUGACGGGACUGUCUCACUUACUUCUUCCGGCUGUAACACAGGUUUGGGUCUUGCAAGUGGACUCUCGCGGCCAGCAAAGAAG
Penaeus vannamei (Pacific white shrimp) is the source of this 253-nucleotide non-coding RNA. Lineage: Eukaryota; Metazoa; Arthropoda; Malacostraca; Decapoda; Penaeidae. The record is from RefSeq and is a predicted model, not a curated record.